This 450-nucleotide ribosomal RNA is filed under the name uncultured bacterium. RNAcentral describes it as "bacterial SSU rRNA". It matches the Rfam family "Bacterial small subunit ribosomal RNA", at positions 355 to 825 of the family's 1533-position model. The record is from RNAcentral.
UCAAGAAACUUCCACAAUGGGCGAAAGCCUGAUGGAGCGACGUCGCGUGAUGGACGAAGUGCUUCGGCACGUAAACAUCUUUUAUGUGGGAUGAAAUUAUUGACAGUACCACAUGAAUAAGGGGCUCCUAACUCUGUGCCAGCAGGAGCGGUAAUACAGAGGCCCCAAGCGUUAUCCGGAAUCACUGGGCGUAAAGGGUGUCGAAGCGGUUGUAUUAGUCGUUCGUAAAAUCUACGAGCUUAACUUGUAGGCGGCGAACGAAACGGUACGACUUGAGGUUUGGAGAGGUGCGUGGAACUCACGGUGUAGGGGUGAAAUCCGUUGAUAUCGUGGGGAACACCAAAGGCGAAGGCAGCGCACUGGCCAAAAUCUGACGCUCACACACGAAAGCUAGGGUAGCGAAGAGAAUUAGAUACCCACGUAGUCCCUGAGCGGGCUGGCAAGGCGCAU